UAGGGAAUCUUCCACAAUGGGCGCAAGCCUGAUGGAGCAACACCGCGUGAGUGAAGAAGGGUUUCGGCUCGUAAAGCUCUGUUGUUAAAGAAGAACACGUAUGAGAGUAACUGUUCAUACGUUGACGGUAUUUAACCAGAAAGUCACGGCUAACUACGUGCCAGCAGCCGCGGUAAUACGUAGGUGGCAAGCGUUAUCCGGAUUUAUUGGGCGUAAAGAGAGUGCAGGCGGUUUUCUAAGUCUGAUGUGAAAGCCUUCGGCUUAACCGGAGAAGUGCAUCGGAAACUGGAUAACUUGAGUGCAGAAGAGGGUAGUGGAACUCCAUGUGUAGCGGUGGAAUGCGUAGAUAUAUGGAAGAACACCAGUGGCGAAGGCGGCUACCUGGUCUGCAACUGACGCUGAGACUCGAAAGCAUGGGUAGCGAACAGGAUUAGAUACCCUGGUAGUCCAUGCCGUAAACGAUGAGUGCUAGGUGUUGGAGGGUUUCCGCCCUUCAGUGCCGGAGCUAACGCAUUAAGCACUCCGCCUGGGGAGUACGACCGCAAGGUG
This 549-nucleotide ribosomal RNA is filed under the name uncultured bacterium. RNAcentral's name for it is "partial 16S ribosomal RNA". It matches the Rfam family "Bacterial small subunit ribosomal RNA", at positions 355 to 895 of the family's 1533-position model. The record is from RNAcentral.